Chroicocephalus ridibundus (black-headed gull) is the source of this 3359-nucleotide long non-coding RNA. RefSeq lists it as uncharacterized. The record is from RefSeq and is a predicted model, not a curated record. The transcript is spliced from 4 exons. NCBI's taxonomy places the organism in Eukaryota, Metazoa, Chordata, Aves, Charadriiformes, Laridae.
CCCCCAUCAUCCCCACAUCCUGACCCCCCGCCCGGGCUGACCCCCCGAGGGAGGAGGAGGAGGAUGGGGGGGGUGGGGUGCGCAGGCACUUCUGCAGGCGCAGCCCUUUGCAUCAAGGUGCGCUGCAAUCCGGGGGGGCGAGGUGGCUUCUCCUUAACCCCCGCCUGGCCGGCGGCAGCGCCGCCCGGAGCCCCGCUCCCCCUCUCUCCCCCCCCCCCCCCCCGCCCCGCGCCCCGGCUCCAUCCCCCGCUGUACCGCGCUGCCGCCCGCCCCCCCCGCCGCGCCAUCCCCCGCCGAGCCGCGCUGCAGCAGCGGGGACGGAGUUGUAGCGGUGCUGGGUGGAGGGGGCGAGAGAUUGGCUAUAAGGAGAAGGCUGACGGCUGCAGCAUGAAGCGCAUUAUUACCUUGUGAUUCCAUGACCCUCCUCUAUGCAUCCCUAACUCUCGAAAGCUGAUUCAGCUUUCAGCUAGUGCUCUGGUGAGUCCUCUGCUGCAACAGAAGCUCCUAACUGCAUCUGCUGUCUUUGGGGGUUCGCUUGUCUGCGAGGUAGCGUCUCACUCACAGUGACCAGCAGAGGAAAAAUCACUGGAUUCACUAGAGGAGACUACCUCUUCGAAGGAUGGCAAGCAUGCCUUCAGGUACGGAGGAGGCAGCCCAGACGGAUGGGGGAGAGAGGGAGGCGAGUGGACUGGGAAGACAGAGAUUUUCCCGGAGAGCAAAAUUAACCCUUUACGAAGCCUCUGGGAUUAAAGGGGUGGCUUAGUUCUCUCACAGCGUCCGCCCUUCAGCCCGUUUAAACACCAUGCCUUUUCCAAGAAGCGAAGGGCAAGGAGGAGCACCGAUGAGCAAUAAAGAAAUAAGCAGCAAAGCACUCGUUUCACCGGCGUUUUCCCAUGAAAAAUGAACCCUCAAGCGCACCCGGAGAUUUGUUGUCUAAGUGGCAAAGCUCGCCCAAGCUCCCGAUUUUGCUUCCAGCAGAGAUGCUCGUUGCUCAUUCUCACACCCGGGAGCAACUCGGACCCAUUACGCGGCGCUGGCUCUUCCCACCGGCACCUGCCUGUACCCGGGGUGGGACCAGAGAUACGGGCAGUGAGCAAAAAAGUGGGGAGAAAACCCCUCUUUCUCCCCGUACCCACUACUAGGAACUUGUGGGAAAUUAUAACCAACUUGGCAAUACUUUUUUACCCUUUAGUACAACAGGAUAGGCUAUGGUUUCAUGUGGUUUAAGAGAAAACCAAGCCUAGAAGAAAAGCCUUCUACUUAAAAAAUACAUGUGUGUGUAUAUAUAUAUUAGAAAAAAAUACACACAUAUAUGUACAUACACAUUAUAUAUAUACACAUAUGUAUAAAAAUAUAUAUACUUGCCUUCUGGCCCAUGCUGUGAUAUCCCUGCAGAUAUUCCUGCCCUCGGAUGCAUGCAUCUGCAGGGAAUUUUUCCUUUCGAGCUGUAGCGCAGGGACGAUGCUAUACAUGGUGCUUUGGGAAAACGGCACGACAAGAAUUCAUUUUGGGGAUUUAAAGGUCUUCCAGACCUGCAUUUUCGAAAAGGGAAACUUCAUAUCUCGACGGGUGUUUUGGAACAGGAGGAACGAAGGAUCUAAUGCAGUGAAGUGUAAUGUCAGCGAGGGCAAAUUCGUUUUGCGUUUGGAUACGACGCGUUUUAUAGAGGCUAAUUUGGGGCUUAAAAGAGAAAUUAUUAUUCACAUCCGCCCAGCAAAGGAAAUGGGUGACGCUGGGGGGUCACUACUGACUUUGGCGGGUUUUGAAGUGGGUACCCGAGAGGAAGGGACCCUCCCAGCGCCCUGCCUUGCCCCUCUGCGCCGCUUAUGGGUGCUCCAGCUUGGGACCCCCGUAGGGUUCGUAGCCCAGCUCACCGCCUUUGGAUGCCAGCUCAAGCUGCAGAAAACCCCAGGUCCUGGUAGAUCCUAAACACGGCGCAAUACGGUAUUACUGCCUGGGGUAACUUUUGGUUUAGAUGUAUUAUUUCAAUAAAGAGGUCUUCAGACAGUGUUAAAUGACAGAUGAUAUAAUUUUUGAAUGCGAUGUUCAUCUGAAUUUUAUUUUCUGAUGUUUUGACUCAUUGACUUGAUGUCUCUCUAUUAUGCACACACCUCUGGAGACGUUGCUGGCAAUGAUUAUGCAUAGCAUUGAGUUAGUGAAUAAAACCACUCCAGGAACUGCUUUACAGAUCACAGUAUCGUUUUCUCUAUAAUUGUCCCACAAACGGUGGAAGUUAUAUGGAGAGAGCAGCCCGCUCUGACAGACUGCAUAUUUUUGCAGUGUGCAUCAGAUCUCACUUUGGCUUCUGAGACUUAUUUCCGAUGGUUCUUGGGGAUUUAACUUUAAGACCAGUGUAUUUUAGUAUCCAUAUACGCUCCGCUGUUCAUGUCAUUCGGCAGCAACCGAGGAUGAGCUGUCUCCUUCAUAUGGAUGAGACACCAAUUUAUCUAAGUUAUCACCUCCCAAUCUCUCAUUCAUCUCUGCUGCUAACUGCUGUGUUUCUGACAUCCAUACCUAAACUAUCAGCAACUUCUUCUCCUUCAAUUGAAACCAUAAGUAAUUUUUGGCUGGAAGUUUCUUGUUAUGUAUAUAAUGGCUUCUUCAUCUCCCAGCCGGAAUUCAACCAGCAGGUGACUGACGCAGGCUCUGGACACCGCAUUUUAAACCCACAGCGUUGCAGAGAUCCACGCAGCACACUAAAUCAAAAGGCAGGGUGUCUUUCCACCCUCUGAAAAUAUAUGACCAAAUUAACACGUCCCGGGCUUGCUUUGAGCAACGCUGCGGCCCCGGCUGCGCACAGCCCAGGCACUUGACUGCAACGUCAGCAGUACUUUCCCCCAUCCCGACGCAUUCCCAAACCGGCAAAACUUAGCCCUACUCCUGGUAUUCUCUUUAUAGAAGGUCCCAGGGGUAUUAUGUAUCAAAUAAAGGUCUCAUUACUUAGUUUCUGGUUCCUUCACGCCGUUGCUCUCAUUAAUCAUCCUGUUCUUCAAGCCCGUGCUACAAGGCGUUAGAACUGCCUUGGAGCUGCCUCGCUCCCCACCCCUAAAUUAGAGAUUCCUCCCCUGCCCUUCCCCUGCCCCUCGCUGCCGCACGUGCCGUGGGGAGCACAGACCCCCUGGGGACCGCGGCGGCUGGUGGGGACAGUGCUGGGCGACCGGGGACCUCUUGGCCAUCGACUCUGGGCUUGAGUCUUAAUGCAAAGAGGUGCCCACCCGCUUCUGCCCAGCCUGGUCUCGGGGCACCUGGGGGAGCUCCUGCUGUUAAACACCCCAACGCUCUCCCUUUGUGCCUUCUAGCAUCUCUAGAUCCAGCCCCCCCCCCCCCAGGAAAACUCUUAGGUUGUGCCCCAAAUCUGC